Molecule: ribosomal RNA, 253 nt
Filed under: uncultured bacterium
Lineage: Bacteria
Description: partial 16S ribosomal RNA
Rfam family: Bacterial small subunit ribosomal RNA
Source: RNAcentral
UACGUAGGGUGCGAGCGUUAAUCGGAAUUACUGGGCGUAAAGCGUGCGCAGGCGGCUUUGCAAGACAGAUGUGAAAUCCCCGGGCUCAACCUGGGAACUGCAUUUGUGACUGCAAGGCUAGAGUACGGCAGAGGGGGAUGGAAUUCCGCGUGUAGCAGUGAAAUGCGUAGAUAUGCGGAGGAACACCAAUGGCGAAUGCAAUCCCCUGGGCCUGUACUGACGCUCAUGCACGAAAGCGUGGGGAGCAAACAGG